AGGACGAACGCUGGCGGCGUGCUUAACACAUGCAAGUCGAACGAGGCCCUACCUUCGGGUAGGUGACCUAGUGGCGAACGGGUGAGUAACACGUGGGCAACCUACCCUCAGCUCUGGGAUAACCCCGGGAAACCGGAGCUAAAUACCGGAUAUGACCUUGAACGACAUCGUUCUUGGUGGAAAGUUUUUUCGGCUGAGGAUGGGCCCGCGGCCUAUCAGCUUGUUGGCGGGGUAAUGGCCCACCAAGGCGACGACGGGUAG
This 261-nucleotide ribosomal RNA is filed under the name uncultured bacterium. RNAcentral's name for it is "partial small subunit ribosomal RNA". It matches the Rfam family "Bacterial small subunit ribosomal RNA", at positions 26 to 286 of the family's 1533-position model. The record is from RNAcentral.